RNAcentral lists this ribosomal RNA (513 nucleotides) under Saperda imitans. RNAcentral describes it as "partial large subunit ribosomal RNA". It matches the Rfam family "Bacterial large subunit ribosomal RNA", at positions 1819 to 2603 of the family's 2925-position model. The record is from RNAcentral. Lineage: Eukaryota; Metazoa; Arthropoda; Insecta; Coleoptera; Cerambycidae.
GGCUUUUUGAUAAUAAUUUAAAGUCUAGCCUGCCCACUGAGGAUUUAAAUGGCCGCGGUAUUUUGACCGUGCUAAGGUAGCAUAAUCAUUAGUUUUUUGAUUGAAAGCUGGAAUGAAGGGUUGGAUGAAAAAUGAACUGUCUUUAAUUAAUUUUGAUAGAAUUUUAUUUUUAAGUAAAAAAGCUUAAAUUAUUUUAAAAGACGAGAAGACCCUAUAGAGUUUUAUAUAAAACUUAUUUUUAUAUUUUAGGAUUUUUAUUUAAAAAUUAAUUUUGUAUUUGAUUGGGGUGAUUGAAAAAUUUAGUAAACUUUUUUAAAAUAAGUCCAUAAAUAAAUGAAAAUAUGAUCCAUAUUUAUUGAUUAAAAGAAAAAAUUACCUUAGGGAUAACAGCGUAAUUUUUUUUAAGAGUUCUAAUCGAAAGAAAAGAUUGCGACCUCGAUGUUGGAUUAAAAUUAAUUUUUGGUGUAGAAGCUAGAAAUUUUAGGUCUGUUCGACCUUUAAAAUUUUACAUGA